Molecule: long non-coding RNA, 456 nt
Organism: Colias croceus (clouded yellow)
Lineage: Eukaryota; Metazoa; Arthropoda; Insecta; Lepidoptera; Pieridae
Exons: 3
Source: RefSeq, a predicted model, not a curated record
CGAGUAUCUCGGCGUUAUUCCAUUUCUUGACCUUCAUGUACUAUAUAUUGUCCAUGAUGUUAAUCAUCGAACCAUUUGUAAGAAUUGAUAAAAAGAUAGUGGAGAUAAAACUGAUCCUAGGAGAGCUUAUGACUGAUGAAACUCUGAAUUUAGAGCAUUACCCGGAAUUAGAUAUACUUCAUAUGGAACUAUGCGAAUACGAUUUUACAUUUCAACCAAUGGGGUUGAUUACUAUGCACAGAUCCCUAAUUGCUCAGACACUGGGCGUAGUAUUGACUUAUCUCAUUAUUAUAAUACAGUUUUAGUAAUUGAAGAAAUAAGUAUCUAAAAGUGCUACACUUCGUGCUAUCAUAGAUGAACAGAUUAAAGAACAAAACCGUUAGUUGAGACAUUAAAAAAAUGUAUGUACCCUUACGACUUACGAAUUUGGCAUCUCGCUUAUUAUUCAUUUUUUUU